This is a transfer RNA of Felis catus (domestic cat), 86 nucleotides long. It matches the Rfam family "tRNA". From Rfam's summary of the family: Transfer RNA (tRNA) molecules are approximately 80 nucleotides in length. Their secondary structure includes four short double-helical elements and three loops (D, anti-codon, and T loops). Lineage: Eukaryota; Metazoa; Chordata; Mammalia; Carnivora; Felidae. The record is from Rfam.
GCCCGGGUGGCUCAGUCGGUUAAGCAUCUGACUUCGGCUCAGGUCAUGAUCUCACAGGUUCGUGAGCUCGAGCCCCACACUGGGCU